CGGAGUGUAGCUUAGCCUGGUAGAGCGCUCGCUUUGGGAGCGAGAGGUCGCAGGUUCGAAUCCUGCCACUCCGA
RNAcentral lists this transfer RNA (74 nucleotides) under Methylacidiphilaceae bacterium. RNAcentral's name for it is "Candidatus Methylacidiphilaceae bacterium tRNA-Pro". It matches the Rfam family "tRNA". From Rfam's summary of the family: Transfer RNA (tRNA) molecules are approximately 80 nucleotides in length. Their secondary structure includes four short double-helical elements and three loops (D, anti-codon, and T loops). The record is from RNAcentral. Lineage: Bacteria; Pseudomonadati; Verrucomicrobiota; Methylacidiphilae; Methylacidiphilales; Methylacidiphilaceae.